UGACUUAGUAGUUAAAAAGCAGUGAGCUGCUUGUUUUAUUUAAGCAACACAUGCAUACUUCAUCAUGUCACCUGCAUGCUUCAUCAAAUUCACAUGCUUGCUUCACCGAUUACACACCUGCCUGCUUCAUUCACUUGGCCACCCCCUGUUUACGUCCUCCUAGUUGCAUCAUUCUGUGCGGUACAUAAAGUCGAAAUAAAUUUGAAGCUGCUUCAUUUGUCUUAAUUUGGAGAAUCCAAAGUCGAGAGCAAGCAAAAGGAAAAAGGAAGAGAAAUAGAAAAGCGAAGAAAGAAACUAAGAGAAAAAGCGAGAAGAGAAGAAAAUGGAAAGAAAAGAAAUAAAACAAAAUAAAAAUUGAAAACCGAGAGUGAGAAAGAAAUGGAAAAGGAAAGCGAAAGUGUAAAAGUUAUAGGAAAUUAGAUUUAUAUCCAAUGAAUUAGUGGGUAAUAAAUUUAUGAAAUUUAAGUAAUUAUGUUACAGGUUUCAUUAUAUGCAUCAUCUAAUUGUUAAUUUUUGAAUCCACAGGAGCCCUAAUGAACCCUAGAGUGAAAAAAGAUCUAUGAGUAGAUACUAUUAUUACUAUUAUGUAUGUUGUAAAGCAUUUAUACUUGAUAGUAUGAAUUAGUAUUAUGUUAUGAUUAUAUGUAUGCACAUUAUAUCAUUGAUUGAGCCAUGAGAUAUGAUUGCGAGUCGUCAUAUGUGUACCCUUCCCCAUAAACUCUGCACAUGCGUAUUAAGAUUUAGAUUACUCUAUACGUAUGAUAUAGUUAAAUUUCGUUAGGUAUUGACAGGUUUUUCCUCUGCUUUGCUAGUGCGAUAAUGAUCCCAGCGAGUAUGAUAGUUAUUCCCCUAGUUACUCUUUGGUGCAGUUUGUCAAGUAUGUACAUAUGAUAUUUCAUGUUUGCUUAUGCAUUAUGUUCAAUGUGGAGAUAUGUCAUAUGAUUCUGUAUAAGCACUAAUACACGCUUUACUCACACACACACACACACACAUAUAUACACUAAGACACAAGCUCACUAAUUUUCUAUUUACCCAAUUUCUCCCAAGUUUCACAGGAUUUUGUGUAGUUCAGUUUCUAAUCAUUUGGAGGUUGGGCCACGACACAUAUUGUUGCAUGACUUGCAUUUUGAGCACGUAUAUAUAUAGUGACAUAAGAAGUGUGCAAGUUCCUUUGGAUGGGCACAUAUUGUAUUAUAUGUUUAUAGUAGAGGCUCGAGGCCAGUUUUAUAUGUUUGAUAAAUUAAGUUUAUGUUAUGAGUUUUAGAUGUUAGAUCACAUGAUUCGCCUUAGAUAUAACAUAUGGAUCCGGGACGCUCAUGUCAUUAUAUAUGGUUUUUAUGCCAUUUACGACUAUUUUUGUACUUGGACAUCUGUCCCUCAUAUAUUAUAUAUGGUUUUUAAAAUAUCAAGUAUGCCUAUAUUUGAAAAAAAAAUUAUUCGCUCCUAUAUUAUAUAUGUAUUUUAGGUUGUGUACCAUAGUUUAUUUCCAUGGAUAUCUCUCGCUCAUAUAUUAUAUACGGUUUUUAGGACACCAGAUAUGACUAUAUUUAAAAAACUAUUAUCACUCAUAUUAUAUAUGGCUUCUAGGACGUGUACAAGAAUUUUUGUCCUUGGAUAGAUCUCACUUAUAUAUUAUAUAUGGUUUUUAGGACACUAGAUAUGACUAUAUUUGAAAAAUAAAAUAUUAUUCGCUCUUAUAUUAUAUAUGGAUUUUAGGUCGUAAAUGAGAAUUUUUGUCCUUAGAUAUUUCUCGCUUAUAUAUUAUAUAUGGUUUUUAGGACACCAGAUAUGACUAUAUUUGAGAAAACAUUAUCCGCCUGUAUACUAUAUAAGGAUUUUAUGACAUCAUAUAUGACUAUAUUUAAAAAAAAAUUAUUAUCUUUUUGUUAUUAUUAACUCACACAUAUAUUGAUGUGUGAGUUAAUAGGAAAUGGUAACUGAACUUCAAUAACAUGCCCGCCUGCACGUGUAA
Molecule: long non-coding RNA, 1972 nt
Filed under: Citrus sinensis (sweet orange)
Lineage: Eukaryota; Viridiplantae; Streptophyta; Magnoliopsida; Sapindales; Rutaceae
Description: long non-coding RNA (CSIN_LNC002465)
Source: RNAcentral